CCUACGGGCGGCAGCAGUGAGGAAUAUUGGUCAAUGGGCGAGAGCCUGAACCAGCCAAGUCGCGUGAGGGAGUACUGCCCUAUGGGUUGUAAACCUCUUUUGUCGGGGAGCAAAAGCCGGACGUGUCCGGCUGUGAGAGUACCCGAAGAAAAAGCAUCGGCUAACUCCGUGCCAGCAGCCGCGGUAAUACGGAGGAUGCGAGCGUUAUCCGGAUUUAUUGGGUUUAAAGGGUGCGCAGGCGGAUUUUUAAGUCAGCGGUAAAAUCGUGGGGCUCAACCCCAUCCAGCCGUUGAAACUGGGGAUCUAGAGUGUGCGAGAGGUAGGCGGAAUGCGUGGUGUAGCGGUGAAAUGCAUAGAUAUCACGCAGAACCCCGAUUGCGAAGGCAGCAUACCGGUGCACAACUGACGCUCAGGCACGAAAGCGUGGGUAUCGAACAGGAUUAGAUACCCUAGUAGUC
Molecule: ribosomal RNA, 458 nt
Filed under: uncultured bacterium
Lineage: Bacteria
Description: partial 16S ribosomal RNA
Rfam family: Bacterial small subunit ribosomal RNA
Source: RNAcentral